CCGUGUGCCUACAAGUAGUCAGAGCCCGUUAACGGGUGAUGGCGUGCCUUUUGUAGAAUGAACCGGCGAGUUACGAUCCCGUGCAAGGUUAAGUUUGAAAAGACGGAGCCGCAGCGAAAGCGAGUCUGAAUAGGGCGCAUGAGUACGUGGUCGUAGACCCGAAACCAGGUGAUCUACCCAUGUCCAGGGUGAAGUUCAGGUAACACUGAAUGGAGGCCCGAACCCACGCACGUUGAAAAGUGCGGGGAUGAGGUGUGGGUAGGGGUGAAAUGCCAAUCGAACCUGGAGAUAGCUGGUUCUCUCCGAAAUGGCUUUAGGGCUAGCCUCAAGGUAAGAGUCUUGGAGGUAGAGCAC
RNAcentral lists this ribosomal RNA (354 nucleotides) under Bacillus licheniformis. Its description in RNAcentral is "bacterial LSU rRNA". It matches the Rfam family "Bacterial large subunit ribosomal RNA", at positions 556 to 910 of the family's 2925-position model. The record is from RNAcentral. Lineage: Bacteria; Bacillati; Bacillota; Bacilli; Caryophanales; Bacillaceae.